CGCCAUCUUGGUGCGGGCAUCUUUUCCAUCAUUCUCAUAAGUGGACUCGAGAAAAUGCCUCAGUCGUGUGCUGCUUGGGGCUGUACAAACCGCCGCACAAUUGAAAAUAGGUCUCGGGGAAUUACUUUUCACAGAUUUCCCAAAAACAAAGAGUUGAGGAGGCAGUGGGAAGUAGCUCUAAGAAGAGAAGGUUUCUCCGCAAGCGAGUCCUCCGUGCUAUGACAGGACAGGUCAAAUUGUGAGGAUUAGGGAUGGAGCUAAACCAUCGAUCUUCAGCUUUCCCCCUCAUCUACAAAGACCUGUGGCAAGCAGGAAAACAGUGGCCUCGAGGAAAGCUGAGGAGUGCUGGUCAGUGGACUGAUGGAACCUCCUCUGCCUAAUGUUGUGAGUAUUUGUAC
Molecule: long non-coding RNA, 398 nt
Organism: Sinocyclocheilus grahami
Lineage: Eukaryota; Metazoa; Chordata; Actinopteri; Cypriniformes; Cyprinidae
Exons: 3
Source: RefSeq, a predicted model, not a curated record